CCAUGAGGCCGUAAGGCGUAAUCGAUGCACAGCAGGUUAAAUAUUCCUGCGCUGGCUGGGAUUAAGGCUGUGAAUGACACAUGGGAAGACAUCGGCUAGGCAAUUGAAUGCUGAGCUUAGGCUUCGGCCGAAGCGUACCGGUGGGUUCCUGUGUCUAGAAAAGUUUGCAGUUGUUUCCCCAGUCACCCGUACCGUAAACCGACACAGGUGGGUGAGUGUAAGCGCACUCAGGCGCGCGAGAGAGACCUCUCUAAGGAACUCGGCACAUUAGCCCCGUAACUUCGGGAAAAGGGGUGCUCACUUCGGUGAGUCUCAGUAAAUUGCGUUUAGCGACUGUUUAACAAAAACACAGCACUCUGCAAAGUCGUGAAGACGACGUAUAGGGUGUGACACGUGACCAAUGCGGAAAGAUCAAGGUGACUUGUUAGCCGCAAGGCGAAGCUCGGAGCCUAAGUCCCCGUGAAUGUCGGCCGUAACUAUAACGGUCCUAAGGUAGCGAAAUUCCUUGUCGGGUAAGUUCCGACCUGCACGAAUCGUGUAACGACUGAACGACUGUCUCGGAGAGGAUCUCGGCGAAACUGUAACGGCGGUGAAGAUGCCGCCUGCCCGCAGUAGGACGGAAAGACCCUAUGCACCUUUACUGUAAGCUCGUAUUGGGUUCUGAUUAGUGAUGCUUAGCGUAGGUGGGAGACUUUGAAGGGCUGGCUUCGGUCAGCUUGGAGUCGAAAUGUGAAACACCACUCUUUAUUAAUUAGGAUUCUAACCUCUCGCUGUUAGCCAGCAGAGGGACAUUGCGUGCGGGUCAGUUUGACUGGGGCGGUUUCCUCCCAAAUGGUAACGGAGGAGCGCGAAGGUAUUCUCAGCACGGUUGGCAACCGUGCGUCGAGCGAAUGGGUAGAAGAAUGCUUAACUGUGAGACCAACAAGUCGAGCAGAUACGAAAGUAGGCCCAAUUGAUCCGACGGUUUAAUGUGGAAUUGCCGUCGCUCAUCGGACAAAAGGUACGCUAGGGAUAACAGGCUGAUCGAGUCCAAGAGUUCACAUCGACGACUCGGUUUGGCACCUCGAUGUCGGCUCAUCGCAUCCUGGGGCUGGAGAAGGUCCCAAGGGUCCGGCUGUUCGCCGGUUAAAGCGGUACGCGAGCUGGGUUCAGAACGUCGUGAGACAGUUCGGUCCUUAUCCACUGUGGGCGCAGGAAACUUGAGGGGUUCAAACCUUAGUACGAGAGGACCGGGUUUGACGCACUUCUGGUGUGGCAAUUGUUCCGUCAGGGGCAUCGUUGCGUAGCCAUGUGCGGAAGAGAUAAGCGCUGAAAGCAUCUAAGUGCCAAGCUCAUCCCAAGAUAUUGUUUCCCGGAGCACAAGCUCCCUAAAGACCCCAGCGAGACUAGCUGGUUGAUAGGUCAGGCGUGCAAGCGCUGUGAGGCGUUUAGCGGACUGAUACUAAUCGGUCGUGCGGCUUGAUCGC
RNAcentral lists this ribosomal RNA (1466 nucleotides) under metagenome. RNAcentral describes it as "bacterial LSU rRNA". It matches the Rfam family "Bacterial large subunit ribosomal RNA", at positions 1394 to 2925 of the family's 2925-position model. The record is from RNAcentral.